GUGCUCGCUUCGGCAGCACAUAUACUAAAACUGGAACGAUACAGAGAAGAUUAGCUUGGCCCCUGCAUAAGGAUGACACGCAAAUUCGUGAAGCAUUCCAUAUUUUU
RNAcentral lists this small nuclear RNA (107 nucleotides) under Balaenoptera physalus (Fin whale). Lineage: Eukaryota; Metazoa; Chordata; Mammalia; Artiodactyla; Balaenopteridae. The record is from RNAcentral. RNAcentral also lists the same sequence under 1 other name.